UAUUAUCUUCAUCCCAUUCGACGCAACAGAAAAAAAAUAGCAACGAAAAGAGGAGGGAACACAGAAAAAGAAGAUAAUACAUGAUAUUUUAUUAUUUUUUUGGCAUUUCAUAAGCACCACAACGAUAUA
Molecule: non-coding RNA, 129 nt
Filed under: Aureoumbra lagunensis
Lineage: Eukaryota; Pelagophyceae; Sarcinochrysidales; Sarcinochrysidaceae
Source: RNAcentral